Long non-coding RNA from Vespa velutina, 486 nucleotides. RefSeq lists it as uncharacterized. The transcript has 4 exons. The record is from RefSeq and is a predicted model, not a curated record. NCBI's taxonomy places the organism in Eukaryota, Metazoa, Arthropoda, Insecta, Hymenoptera, Vespidae.
GUAGCUCCGAGAAAGGUUUCACGUUCCAGAAAGUCUCGACGGUGUUGCACCCAGUAGAGAACCUCCCCGAGGGUAGAGUAAGACGACCGUGAAGUCUCCAUAAUGCAGGCCGGCUGGUUGAACGACAUAAAAAAUCCAAUGGAGUACUCCCACGGCACGUCGGAACCAACACCAACCAACGAAAAUACAAAACUUACGUUCUCCGAACCUUCUUACAGCGGCGUAGGGAUUGUAUGGGAUAACGAAAGGAAUGAUGAAAGUUUCCCCGGACGAAAAUCCAUGGAACGUGACGAAACUCAUCCCCUUCGGAAAAUCUUUUUCACAUUUUCAACGAAACGUUAAACGAACUUGUUGGCUAAAGGGAUAUGUGAUUUAAUGGAGAACUAUAGAUCGAUCAUUGAUCUAUCUAUCAAGACAACGUCGUUCCUUCGUUAUCUAAGAUAAAGAUGACUUGCGAACUUCUUUUUUUUUCAUUGACAAUACUUC